AUCUGGCUCCGUUCCGGGGUCCGAGUUGUAAUUUGGAGAGGAUGCUUCGGGCGCGGCACCGGUCUAAGUCCCUUGGAACAGGGCGUCAUAGAGGGUGAGGAUCCCGUAUGUGACCGGCGACCAAGUCCAUGUGAAGCCCCUUCGACGAGUCGAGUUGUUUGGGAAUGCAGCUCAAAAUGGGUGGUAAAUUUCAUCUAAAGCUAAAUACCGGCCAGAGACCGAUAGCGCACAAGUAGAGUGAUCGAAAGAUGAAAAGCACUUUGGAAAGAGAGUCAAAAAGUACGUGAAAUUGUUGAAAGGGAAGCGCUUGUAACCAGACCUGCCGUCGGGUGCUCAGCGGGCACUUGUGCCCGCCUAUUCACCCGCGAUCAGGCCAGCAUCGGUUUGGGCGGCCGGAUAAAGACUCGAGGAAUGUAGCUUCGCUUCGGGGAAGUGUUAUAGCCUCGGGUGCAAUACGGCCAGCCGGGACCGAGGACCGCGCUUCGGCUAGGAUGCUGGCGUAAUGGUUGCAAGCGACCCGUCUUGAAACACGGACCAAGGAGUCUAACAUCUAUGCGAGUGUUUGGGUGUCAAACCCAUGCGCGGAAUGAAAGUGAACGGAGGUGGGAACCCUCAAGGGCGCACCAUCGACCGAUCCGGAAGUUUACGGAUGGAUUUGAGUAUGAGCAUAGCUGUUGGGACCCGAAAGAUGGUGAACUAUGCCUGAAUAGGGUGAAGCCAGAGGAAACUCUGGUGGAGGCUCGCAGCGGUUUUGACGUGCAAAUCGAUCGUCAAAUUUGGGUAUAGGGGCGAAAGACUAAUCGAACCAUCUAGUAGCUGGUUCCUGCCGAAGUUUCCCUCAGGAUAGCAGUAACGUUUUCAGUUUUAUGAGGUAAAGCGAAUGAUUAGAAACCUUGGGGAUGAAACAUCCUUAAUUUAUUCUCAAACUUUAAAUAUGUAAGAAGUCCUUGUUACUUAGUUGAACGUGGACAUUUGAAUGCACCGUUACUAGUGGGCCAUUUUUGGUAAGCAGAACUGGCGAUGCGGGAUGAACCGAACGUGGGGUUAAGGUGCCGGAAUGUACGCUCAUCAGACACCAGGGGGGAGACUUGUGGUGUCGGGCUGGAGGGGGGGGGAGAGGCCCCUCCAGCGUUAGUCUGCUCAGGGCGAGGUCUUUGACCUGUUAGGGGUCGGUGGUCGCUCCGCGAUGGCCUACCCUCCGCUGUCCCCUCCUGCGGGGGCAGCUCACAGAUCAAGCAAAGGCCGGCGGCAGGAUGCCGUUGGAGAUAUGAUCGGCCCCUG
This 1281-nucleotide ribosomal RNA is filed under the name Niebla flagelliforma. RNAcentral's name for it is "partial large subunit ribosomal RNA". It matches the Rfam family "Eukaryotic large subunit ribosomal RNA", at positions 120 to 1314 of the family's 3401-position model. The record is from RNAcentral. Lineage: Eukaryota; Fungi; Ascomycota; Lecanoromycetes; Lecanorales; Ramalinaceae.